CCUACGGGUCGCUGCAGUGAGGAAUCUUGGUCAAUGGCCGUAAGGCUGAACCAGCCAAGUCGCGUGAAGGAAGAAGGAUCUCUGGUUUGUAAACUUCUUUUAUAGGGGAAUAAAGGUAUCCACGUGAGGAUAUGUGCAUGUACCCUAUGAAUAAGCAUCGGCUAACGCCGUUCCAGCCGCUGCGGUAAUACGGAGGAUGCGAGCGUUAUCCGGAUUUAUUGGGUUUAAAGGGGACGUAGGUUGUUUUUUAAGUCAGCGGUGAAAGUUUGUGGCUCAACCAUAAAAUUGCCGUUGAAACUGGAAGACUUGAGUGUGUUUGAGGUAGGCGGAAUGCGUGGUGUAGCGGUGAAAUGCAUAGAUAUCACGCAGAACUCCGAUUGCGAAGGCAGCUUACUAAGCCAUAACUGACACUGAAGCACGAAAGCGUGGGGAUCAAACAGGAUUAGAUACCCCUGUAGUC
This 460-nucleotide ribosomal RNA is filed under the name uncultured bacterium. RNAcentral's name for it is "partial 16S ribosomal RNA". It matches the Rfam family "Bacterial small subunit ribosomal RNA", at positions 338 to 795 of the family's 1533-position model. The record is from RNAcentral.